Molecule: long non-coding RNA, 933 nt
Organism: Homalodisca vitripennis (glassy-winged sharpshooter)
Lineage: Eukaryota; Metazoa; Arthropoda; Insecta; Hemiptera; Cicadellidae
Exons: 2
Source: RefSeq, a predicted model, not a curated record
CGUUGCGUUAAGUGUUAAAUAUACGUACGUUAUGACAAUGCACAUUUACAGACAAGUGAAAUGUAGCCUCAACAGUAAAAACAAUUCGGUUUAUAAAACGUAGGUCAAGUUUAUUUUCAUACAGAAUAACAACAGCAAGGUCACACCUCUUUAAUUUGUCAUCUGGCUUCAAGGCAUGCAAUAAUUGAGUGAAGGGGGAAUGUUACGAUGCCUUACCUUUCCCUUGCAGUAGUCUUUGACUUGCUGCUCUGUGAUGGUGGUCCCAGACUUGACUCUCAGACUGCAGGCCACUUCCUCUCCUAGUCUCUCACUAGUGACCCCAAUGACCUUCAAAAGUCACGUGACAUCAUUAAUGUGACCUCUGUUUAUCAUGGAUUAUGGAACAGAAGUUUCCAUAGCAUUCUACAGUCCAAUCUUGAUAAUCUGACAGAUAUGGGACCAGCACACUGUCGGAUUACCAAGGAGUCCGGAUUACCAAGAGUGCCAUUUACACAAUGCAUAAAUAACCUAUAAUCAGUAUGAAACAUGAAGGUAAGCAAACACUAUAGUGAAGGAACAAACUUUUUAUUGUACGUACCUAAUUAUAGUAGAAUGAACAAACUGUGCAUACAUAAUACAUAGGUGAAAACUCUUUAAAUACUAUGUUUACAAUUUAAAAAAAUCCAAAACAUUUUUUGCUUCUUCUUACUUAAAGAUCCUGUAAACUUGUACAAUACUGCAGUGACCUGUGCGGCCAGCGUCGACUGCCGAUAGCCUUUUUCAAGCGUGUCGGACUGGCAAAUGCCGGAUUAUCAAGAUUGGACUGUAUUUAGUGCUACUUUGGAAUUCUCAGUGUUAAUUUUUUGUUCUUAAAUUAUUUUAGAAUCUAUAAUGAAAAUCGUGUUACUUAUACAAACAGUACUAUUGUAAUAAAAAAAACUAUUUGCUACCUAC